RNAcentral lists this microRNA (21 nucleotides) under Arabidopsis thaliana (thale cress). Its description in RNAcentral is "ath-miR1886.2". The record is from miRBase by way of RNAcentral. Lineage: Eukaryota; Viridiplantae; Streptophyta; Magnoliopsida; Brassicales; Brassicaceae.
UGAGAUGAAAUCUUUGAUUGG